Long non-coding RNA from Lepisosteus oculatus (spotted gar), 5589 nucleotides. RefSeq lists it as uncharacterized. NCBI's taxonomy places the organism in Eukaryota, Metazoa, Chordata, Actinopteri, Semionotiformes, Lepisosteidae. The record is from RefSeq and is a predicted model, not a curated record.
UAUCCAACAACCAGAAGGUUAUUGAAAGGCGAGAAAGGUGUGGCUGAGGCGAGCAGAACUCGAUAGUGAGCCUGGAGAGGCGUGGAAGAAAGGCGUCAGUAGAGAGAAGAGGGGGAAAGUGGCUGGAUAAGAGGUGGAUGUGGUGAGCAGAGCGCGCUGGAGUGUGGCGGCGAGUGGUUGUGUGGAGACUCUGACACACUCCACCUUCUGACGUGGAUGAUCAGAGCUUCCUCACUUUUUCCUGGAUUGUGUCGUCCGCAUAGGGUCCGGAAAGAACACUUCCGUUACAAGCAUAAUUCUUCCAGUAAGAGCUGUUUGUAUUUUCCUCAGAGAACGAGCAAAGGUGAGCAGGAUUCAUCUUUCCAGUUACUUGCAAGAUAGCAGGAGGGAGAUUAGACAAUGAGUGAUCAGCAGGUGAAGUGUAACCGAGGGCUUAAUCUUUUCCUCACCGGGAGGGCGUGUUUGUCUAAAGGACAACCAAAUAUUUCUGAGACGCUGUCGAUCAGUUAACAUGGACAGAUGCCUUCCAUGCAAGUCAAAAACAAAGUACUCGUGGGAAAAAAGAGAGGCCUGGAAUGAGUCAAGGGAUAAAUGAAAAGUGCAGUAUGUCUCAAUCAGAGGGCUGUGAGUGACUGGAUCUAAUGCAUGUCAAGUGAAAUGACUGUAAGUAGUUUUCAUAACAGAUGACAAGAUAUAGCCCUCACUGAGGAUUAUGGUAGGACAAUAUCAUGAUACAUAAGCAGAACUCCAGCACGGGGAGUUCCUGAGAGAAAGAGAAUAAAGCUCUUUAGCAUCAUGACUUACAGCCAGUAUGAUGCAUUAGCAUAUAGUGUUACUCACUCACAACUUUGAUCACAGUAGAUAAGCACACAGGAAGUCAGAGAAGUGUUAAAAUCUAACAUGCCAGGUUGAAGACCUCUUUCAGAUCCUAUUAUAACCUUUUUAUCUUCAUUUUUUUGCUCUAUAUUGUUAUCAUUUUCUGGAUGGUGUCAUCAACCACAGCCUUCUGCUUACUUUAUCACUCCAUAUCACAUCUUUCCUGUUUCUCCGUGGUCCAUUCAAUUUCAGUGAUAUCCCCACAGUGCAACAGCUAGCCACAAUCCAAUCCAGCGGUAGAAAUAUAGCCCGUUGAAAUGGACUUAAGUACCAAGAAAACCAUCACUGAUACAGACGUUUCAACAGAACUGAACAGAUUGUUUCUAGAAAGGAUAAAGCCACAUUUAUUAUUUUUUAUAUAAACUAAAUUCCACCCUAUGAAAUGUGUUGUAGGUCAUAAAGCUACACAAAUCUCUUUGUUUCAAAGUUGUUUUUAUUGAUUUUCUUUGUUCUGUUUAUCUUAUGAUCCAUCACUUGGUGUAAAUGGAUUUCGACAGUCAAGUCGGGCCCCUUCUUACAAGAGCUGUGUCAUUUCUCAGACUGACAGCCUCACCGCUUUAAGAAGAAACACCUAUUAACAUUGGCGACGCCUUGAAACGUAAACUCCUGUGAAAAUGACCAUGUUCAACAAUUUCUCCUUGCAGAUAUGUAUAAUAUUGUCACAGCAAACGCGUGGCUUGUGAUAAGAGGAAGUAUGCAUGGUACACGAUGGUAACCAUGGCGCAGUGGUUAGCAUUGUAGCCUGGGGCCCAGGGAUCAAUUCCUGGGGUGUUAUCUGCAAGGCGUUUGUAUGUCAUACUGGUAGAUUAAUUGACUUCUAAGAAGAUUGUCACUAGUAUGAGUGUCUGUGUCUGGUUGUGUGUCCUGGGAUGGAUUGGCGUCCUGUCCAGGGUGUAUCCUGCCUUGCACCUGUUGCUUGCUGGGAUAGGCUCCAGCUCCCCUGCGACCCUGUAUUUUUAAAGUGGUUAGAACCCAGAGAAACCCAUAUGAGAACAGGAAGAACAUGCAUACUCCACACAGAAGGCACACCCCAAAUCAAACCCAGACCCCAACACCGAGGCCUCAGUACUAAUCGCCGUUCCACCGUGCCAAAUAAAAUGUCAUUUUUAAUAGAGAAAAGUAUUACAUCUUGAAAGAUACAGUUGCGAAUCCUUUCAUUGUCCAUCACAGCAAAUGCUUGAAGCACUUUGAGAUGAUUCCCGGAGACAAGGUCUGUAAUAAAACCAAUGUGGCAUAAACAAAAGGCACAAUCUCAUUAAUAAAUCACAAACGAAGACACGACUGAGCGUGUGAAAAACAUAAAGCGUAAAAAUUAAUGCCCCUGCUCAAAUGCCAUGAAGACCAAUGGAGCUCAGAGGAAAGAGCAUUUCUACAGAUAUAAAACUGGUCCCGUAACUGGACUUUGUCAGUUGGUAAUGUUCAGCAUACGGCCCUUUGUUUCACAGGUCUUUGAUUUAUACCAGUGGGCCAAUUUUGGGGAUUUUAUUUUCCAAGGUAAAAUUAAAGAGACAAGGAGAAUGAAAAUGGACUCUAAACUCUUUACACACAAAAAGUUAUUCAAGUGAUGAAGGCAUCAUUACUGCCGAAAACAGGCAGACAGCUUUGAGCUUUUGUGAAGAUGUUUUUUGCUACAGUAUUUGUGUUUUAUUGAUUCUUGCUACUUCUGCGUGGAAAAUUAGAUAUUUGCUCUGCUUACUAUUAAACAAGUAAUCAUGUCACAGACCAUACUCAAAAAAAGUAUUUGCCUUUUCUAGUACUUUUCUGUAUUCCCAAUAUAUUUCCAAACCGGAAACCUUUGCUUUUACUGGAAAACAACAUGGUUAAAAUGCCUUCAAUUAAAAUAUUAUAAUUAGCAAUUAAUCUCUUAAGCAGCACAGUAGCACUUAUUCAGACAGCUAAACAACAGCAAUAAAAAUACUCUCUAGACUAUAAAAGGCUUUUAAAUACAAUCAUCUCAAAGCACUUUGAACAAAACAGGACGUAGAAUAAAAAUUAAAUCAAAAUUACAAACCUGCACAUUGAAGAACAAUCAAACACAGAAGCAUCAAAGAAUGAAAGCGCAUCUGUAAACUUGCUGCUGUUGUCUCCAGAACAUGCACGGAGCUUUGGUUUUGGCUGAAAAACAAAGUAUAUCUCCAAGCAUGUCAGUACUGUAAAUCUAUUGAAUUAAAGUAGAGCUAAAACGUUCAAAACAAUUUGAACAGCACAUCAACAAUCAUUUGAAUUGGAAAUGUUGUUUGAAGGAAAGGUCAGUUCUCAACAGUUAUAUCUUGGGCUCAUGGAGGACACAAUAGGUGGACAGAGUUGUUUUCUUUGAUUUGUUAUUUUGUUUUAAUCAGUGAUAGUCCAGAACAAUACUUACAGACUACGGGACCGUUGACUUGAAUUACAAACUAAUCAGGUCGGCAGUAGCUUCUCUCUCAGCAAAGGUUACCUGAUAAUAAAAGUUAAUGCAAUGCAAGAAGACAAAAGAAUGCAUUUUACCUUAAUAGGGCUUAAAAUGUUUUGUGAUCUAAACACUCAAAAUUACAUUUUUAUGUCAUCUUUAAACCAGCAGAUAAGAAACCUUUGUUCUAUAAUUUAUAUAGAUGCCUGUACUGGUUACAUGAUGAAACCUGUUCACUUUCAUGGUCAGUGUUCAAAAUGUUAAUGAAUUCCCUUGGAACUAUGCCUGUGUUGUAUUUCUGGGAUCCUGUCAUCUGCAAUCUGUUAUUCUGCAUAGAGAAUUAUGAAUGUAUGGAAGAGAUUACCUACAUAUACUGUGCAGGUACAAACACUAAGGUCUUUUCAAAUUAUAUGCUUGAUGCUACAAUGGAAUAGCUUAGUCGUGUGUAGGCAAAUGACUAGCUCUUAUACAGUAGGAUAAAUGGCCUGCACUUGCAUUUACAUUUACUUAUGUUCUAAUAAGGGUGUUUACAAUACUGUAAGUAAACUAGGAAGAUCCUAAAGAUGGGAAUGCCAUUGUUUGCUUCAAAUACAGCUCAGAGCAAGAGGGCUCACGUCUGUAGUUGGACCAAGUACCGGUCUUAAAGAUGGCUGACCCUGAGCAGUCGUGACCGAACAAUGAGGUUCACAGAGCGAAUUUGGCAUGGAAAGACACCAGCUGUACCUUAUCUCCAGCUCAUGGGUACAGACCCAUUGGCAUUUCGUGGAAAUGGGUGGCUAAGGUGCAAUGCCCGUCCGGACAUUCAAGAUGGGCACUGACCUCUGUAGUGAGAAUGCACGCUGCAGUGAAGGAAAGAUGAGGCAAAGUAUGUGAAACAUUCUGCCACCGCAGACCAACUCAGCCUGUUCCUGACAAUUCUGCACAAAACUGCCCGUGGCCACUGAGCACCUGCUGGAGAGUGAGCUCACAAGUAUAGUUCAGAAAGGGAUUCCCGGAAAACCAAAGGCUACAGAAGAAAACCUCAUUUCCUGUCCUGAGGUUUGUGCACUCUCCUCUUCUUGAACCUCACAGAGCGUCUUAAAUAAUGUUUGAUCUUAUGCACCGAUUUAAAAGUUUAUUUCUGCUGACGACCCUCUGCAACCCCUGGGUGUUGUGCACUGCUGCAGAAACAAGAUGCCUUUAGACGACACCUGGGAAUCCGGUGGCCACUGAGACUCAGCCUACUUCAUAUGCAGAGCAUUACAAUGCACUGAGGUCCACUACUGAAGGCAUUCUUUGAUGAUGAAGUACAAAGGUUGCUGUUCAAAGAUCCCAUUCCUGAUUUUAACCUUGUCCGUCUUGGAUGGAUCUCCCGGCUCCUGGACCUUGGAUUGUGCCCCGGAUUUCCCUCUUGGACUGUUUGGACUCGUUUGCCUACGCCACGCCCCCCGAGCACCAGAUCACCGUCGUCACGCCCCCCUGUCUGUCCUCCCGUCCUGAACCUCACCCUGUUUUCCCUGUUGUCCUUCUCCACUUACUUCCGGAUUAUACCGUCUGCAUAGGGUCCUGAACUACGCUUCAUGUAGCUCAUCCACAUGGGCUCAUCGUACAGGCUCAUCUGAGAGCUAGGACAUGAUCCAAGGUUCUCAGCCAGGCAUGGCUUGAAAGACACCAGGACCCAUGGCUGGGCAGCUUGUUCCAGACUCCCACAACUCUCUGAGUAAAGAAGUGCUUCUUGUUCUUGGUUUUAAAUGCACUAUCACAUUGUAGUGGCCACCUGAGUGCUCUGGCUUGUAUUUCAGUUUUCAAAUGAAGGGGUCUGCUGGGAUGACUUUAUCAAUGCCUUUGAAGAUUUUGAAUCCUAAUAUCACUGACAACAUCUCUGGUACAACAUCCAAAAAACAUUAAACAAAAACACCAGCAUUCCUGAUUCAAUUUUUUGGAAGUGUGAUCAUAGACAGUGUGGUAAUUUUUUUAUAUGUUUAGUGAUUUGUGAUUGUAAUUGAGCUCCUUGACAAGUCUUUGAAUCUGCUGGUCUGAACGAUGUGUUAUGUGUUAAAGAUGAGCAUGCUGAUUAAGCAUUGUUUCAGAUGAGAUGUCCCCAACCUUGAGCCUGAAAAAUCCCAGUCCUUUAAAAUCACAAUCAACUCAACUAAUUAAUCAGUACUGGAUACAAAUUAAAAGAAUAAAAGACAAAUUAAAGGACCAUCAUUUUGCUGGGACGCAAACCAGAAGCUGCUUCUGAUCAGUGUGAAUAAAUGUGGAAACACCUCCUUCAGAGAACGAGCUUUGCACAGCUUCUUGUCCAGUGUGCUAUGUGAUACUUAGUGCAAUACACUUCAAAACCA